This 900-nucleotide ribosomal RNA is filed under the name Chaetomium globosum. RNAcentral's name for it is "LSU rRNA". It matches the Rfam family "Eukaryotic large subunit ribosomal RNA", at positions 35 to 967 of the family's 3401-position model. Lineage: Eukaryota; Fungi; Ascomycota; Sordariomycetes; Sordariales; Chaetomiaceae. The record is from RNAcentral.
UAAGCAUAUCAAUAAGCGGAGGAAAAGAAACCAACAGGGAUUGCCCUAGUAACGGCGGAGUGAAGCGGCAACAGCUCAAAUUUGAAAUCUGGCUUCGGCCCGAGUUGUAAUUUGCAGAGGAAGCUUUAGGCGCGGCACUUUCUGAGUCCCCUGGAACGGGGCGCCAUAGAGGGUGAGAGCCCCGUAUAGUUAGAUGCCUAGCCUGUGUAAAGCUCCUUCGACGAGUCGAGUAGUUUGGGAAUGCUGCUCAAAAUGGGAGGUAAAUUUCUUCUAAAGCUAAAUACCGGCCAGAGACCGAUAGCGCACAAGUAGAGUGAUCGAAAGAUGAAAAGCACUUUGAAAAGAGGGUUAAAUAGCACGUGAAAUUGUUGAAAGGGAAGCGCUUGUGACCAGACUUGCGCCGGGCAGAUCAUCCGGUGUUCUCACCGGUGCACUCUGCCCGGCUCAGGCCAGCAUCGGUUCUCGCGGGGGGAUAAAGGCCCUGGGAACGUAGCUCCUCCGGGAGUGUUAUAGCCCGGGGCGUAAUGCCCUCGCGGGGACCGAGGUUCGCGCAUCUGCAAGGAUGCUGGCGUAAUGGUCAUCAGCGACCCGUCUUGAAACACGGACCAAGGAGUCAAGGUUUUGCGCGAGUGUUUGGGUGUAAAACCCGCACGCGUAAUGAAAGUGAACGUAGGUGAGAGCUUCGGCGCAUCAUCGACCGAUCCUGAUGUUUUCGGAUGGAUUUGAGUAGGAGCGUUAAGCCUUGGACCCGAAAGAUGGUGAACUAUGCUUGGAUAGGGUGAAGCCAGAGGAAACUCUGGUGGAGGCUCGCAGCGGUUCUGACGUGCAAAUCGAUCGUCAAAUCUGAGCAUGGGGGCGAAAGACUAAUCGAACCAUCUAGUAGCUGGUUACCGCCGAAGU